AAAACGACGGCCAGUGAAUUGUAAUACGACUCACUAUAGGGCGAAUUGAAUUUAGCGGCCGCGAAUUCGCCCUUGCCGCCCGCCGCGCGCGGCGGGCGGGGCGGGGGCACGGGGGGACGGGGAGCAGCAGGCGCGAAAACUUUACAAUGCGGGCAACCGUGAUAAGGGAACCUCGAGUGCCUGUAUAUGCAGGCUGUCCAGGUGUCUAAAACACACCUGAAGAAAGGGCCGGGCAAGACCGGUGCCAGCCGCCGCGGUAAUACCGGCGGCUCGAGUGGUGGCCGCUUUUAUUGGGCUUAAAGCGUUCGUAGCUGGGUUGUUAAGUCUCUUGGGAAAUCCGGCGGCUCAACCGUCGGGCGUCUAAGAGAUACUGGCGAUCUUGGAACCGGGAGAGGUGAGGGGUACUUCGGGGGUAGGAGUGAAAUCCUGUAAUCCUCGAGGGACCACCUGUGGCGAAGGCGUCUUACCAGAACGGGUUCGACGGUGAGGGACGAAAGCUGGGGGCACGAACCGGAUUAGAUACCCGGGUAGUCCCAGCCGUAAACGAUGCUCGCUAGGUGUCAGGCAUGGCGCGACCGUGUCUGGUGCCGCAGGGAAGCCGUGAAGCGAGC
Molecule: ribosomal RNA, 611 nt
Filed under: uncultured bacterium
Lineage: Bacteria
Description: bacterial SSU rRNA
Rfam family: Archaeal small subunit ribosomal RNA
Source: RNAcentral